CCAAUAUAGUUUUCAUUAUGGAAACUAAAAACUCAGAACAGAAAGUGCUCAGAAUAAAAAGGAGGCUAAAUUUCCAAAACAGUUAUAUAGUCAAUCCGGAGGGAAUAGCAGGGGGCUUAGCUCUAUUCUGGGAUGAUCAUCUGCAGGUAUCGAUUGACUCCUCCUCAGCCACGGCCAUAUUUACACAAUGUCACCUGAAAAACAGCAACCAGAAAAUGAAAGUUAUUUUCGUCCAUGCUCCAACUGUAUUUAGGGAAAGAAUUGAGUUAUGGGAACAGAUCUCCUCAGUCAGUAUGCAUUACCGAAUACCUUGGUUGUGCUUGGGAGAUUUUAACGAGAUAUUAAAUCACUAGGAGAAAGUAGGCAAACACAGAGCUGAAACUUACAGGCUAACUGCUUUCAGAAGCUUCGUUAAUCAAUGCUCCCUCAUGGAUCU
This 436-nucleotide long non-coding RNA is filed under the name Eucalyptus grandis. RNAcentral's name for it is "long non-coding RNA (EGRA_LNC006485)". The record is from RNAcentral. Lineage: Eukaryota; Viridiplantae; Streptophyta; Magnoliopsida; Myrtales; Myrtaceae.